UAAUCAUUUGUCUUUUAAAUGGAGACCUGUAUGAAAGGCAAAACGAGGGUUUAACUGUCUCCCUCUUCUGAUCAGUGAAAUUGACCUCCCCGUGCAGAGGCGGGGAUAAAAAAAUAAGACGAGAAGACCCUGUGGAGCUUUAGAUAUGGGGAGGAAAGAAGAAAACCCGCUUCUAAAGGGGGUACUACCUUAUAACCUUCCUGCGUCUUAGGUUGGGGCGACCCUGGAGUAAAAAAAACCCUCCACGAAGCUGGGUACACAGUCCCUAAAACAAAGAUUCUCCACUCUAAACCUCAGAACUUCUGACUAUACUGAUCCGGCACUCCCGAUCAACGGAACAAGUUACCCCAGGGAUAACAGCGCAAUCCUCUUCCAGAGUCCU
Molecule: ribosomal RNA, 382 nt
Filed under: Apletodon dentatus
Lineage: Eukaryota; Metazoa; Chordata; Actinopteri; Blenniiformes; Gobiesocidae
Description: partial 16S ribosomal RNA
Rfam family: Bacterial large subunit ribosomal RNA
Source: RNAcentral